This 479-nucleotide ribosomal RNA is filed under the name uncultured bacterium. RNAcentral describes it as "partial 16S ribosomal RNA". It matches the Rfam family "Bacterial small subunit ribosomal RNA", at positions 28 to 523 of the family's 1533-position model. The record is from RNAcentral.
GACGAACGCUGGCGGCGUGCUUAACACAUGCAAGUCGAACGGUAAGGCCCCUUCGGGGGUACACGAGUGGCGAACGGGUGAGUAACACGUGGGUAAUCUGCCCUGCACUUCGGGAUAAGCCUGGGAAACCGGGUCUAAUACCGGAUAUGAACUCCUGCCGCAUGGUGGGGGUUGGAAAGUUUUUCGGUGCAGGAUGAGCCCGGGGCCUAUCAGCUUGUUGGGGGGGUAAUGGCCUACCAAGGCGACGACGGGUAGCCGGCCUGAGAGGGUGAUAGGCCACACUGGGACGGAGACACGGCCCAGACUCCUACGGGAGGCAGCAGUGGGGAAUAUUGCACAAUGGGCGAAAGCCUGAUGCAGCGACGCCGCGUGGGGGAUGACGGUCUUCGGAUUGUAAACCCCUUUCAGUAGGGACGAAGCGCAAGUGACGGUACCUGCGGAAGAAGCACCGGCUAACUACGUGCCAGCCGCCGCCGUAA